This 253-nucleotide ribosomal RNA is filed under the name uncultured bacterium. Its description in RNAcentral is "partial 16S ribosomal RNA". It matches the Rfam family "Bacterial small subunit ribosomal RNA", at positions 524 to 776 of the family's 1533-position model. The record is from RNAcentral.
UACAGAGGGGGCAAGCGUUGUUCGGAAUUACUGGGCGUAAAGGGCGCGUAGGCGGCCUUCUAAGUCGAACGUGAAAUCCCCGGGCUCAACCCGGGAACUGCGUCCGAUACUGGAAGGCUUGAAUCCGGGAGAGGGAUGCGGAAUUCCAGGUGUAGCGGUGAAAUGCGUAGAUAUCUGGAGGAACACCGGUGGCGAAGGCGGCAUCCUGGACAGUGACUGACGCUGAGACGCGAAAGCGUGGGGAGCAAACAGG